Molecule: unclassified non-coding RNA, 274 nt
Filed under: Hevea brasiliensis (rubber tree)
Lineage: Eukaryota; Viridiplantae; Streptophyta; Magnoliopsida; Malpighiales; Euphorbiaceae
Source: RNAcentral
UUGAUUUGGACCUUGCCAUAUUUGUACUGAAUAGAAUCUGAAAUAUCUUUGAGCUUUUUUGGGAUUAUCACCAACCAAAAUAUCAUAUUGAGUCCCUUUUGAUCCAAUUGAAAAGCGAAACCCUUGCUAAUACCAUCAGCAGGUCUGAUUAAGAGAGCCCAUUAUCGAUAUUCAAUACCAUGAAAAAGACGAAGAGAGAAAUGUUUUGCAAUGAUUCUAUUCAGUGCUUUAAUAGCAUCGAAUUGCUUGGAGAGAAACAAGAGAGAGAGAGAGA